AGAAUCAGGAAUUGAAAUAUAAUUAUUUUCUUAUGCAAGACUUUGAUCUCACUGAAAUAACCUUUUUAGUUAGAUAUUAUAUGUAUAACAUGAUCCGUUAAAAAUAAAGUGAUAAAAGAGUUGGAUUGAAUACGCCCUAUCUUCCUCUUGACAUGGGUAACGUUCAACCUAAAAUAAUAUAUUUUUCUCUUCUUUUUAAUCAAUAUUUGUAGUGUCGACAUGUUGUGCUAAGUGGGAACCACAAUGAUAUAACCAACUAUAGGAAACUGCAAUAGUCCUCCAUGGAUAUAGAUCAAUCAUCCCUGAACUUUCACCCCAAAACCCUCUAAAUUUGGAUGUAAAUACCCCUGUAAAUUAUUCUUCUAUUCCUAUCUUUGCUCAAAAGUUACUCCAACAUCGAUGACCUUUUCCCAAAUAUGGUUGAUGCUCCGAUGGCAGACACAGAACAUCAAGACGAAGUUACCCCCACAAUUUCUAAGGAAAACUUCUUCCCUUUAUCAACAGCAACAGACAAAGCAAGGCUAUAUUUGCCCUGGUAGACCUCUUUAAUUGGUAAGUUAGUGGGUAAAAAAUUGGGCUACCAAGUCCUCAGGAAGAAACCUUCUGAGGAAUUAAAUCUGAUAGACUUGGGCUACGAUUUCUUUUUGAUGAAAUUUAACCAAGAGUAAAAUAUGCUCCAUGCUCUACAUGAUGGACCAUGGUUCAUCUACAACAGCUUUCUCUCCGUUUAAAAAUGGGAACCCAAAUUUGUGGCAUUCAAAGCUCAACUUGCUCACACCGCUAUUUGGGUUCGUCUGCCGGAAUUACCUACAAAAUUUUACGACAUGGAAAUUCUUCACAAGGUUGGUGCUAAAAUUGGAAUCCUUUUAAAGAUAGACACUUAUACCUCCACGACUUCUAGGGGAAGAUAUGCUCGUUUGUGUAUUCAGGUUCCUUUAGAACGGCCCCUUCUUCAUCACUUGUACAUAGGAACUCAUAAACAAGUGAUUCGGUACUAAGUUGCCUCUUACUGUGCACUUUUUGUGGGUGACUUGGGUAUAUCACCCAUUGCCCAUAUAAAACGGUGAAUGAAAUUCCCAACGAAAAAGAUGUUGAUGAAGCACCAAAUUCCACUGUAAUGGGGAAUGAGCAACAUAAAAAUGAAGAAGAUGAUGAAGGUUGGCAGCUGAUUUGUUUCCCUAGGCAGCAACCUCAUCGUUCAGCAGAGAACGGAAGAGUUGACUUUCAACGUUCUGUUAAAAGACCUAGUGGGCCAUUGUGGGUCAGUGGGUUGUCAAUAAAAAGUGUUUCCUAGGUAAAGGGGCUCAAUCUUUCCCUUCCUAUGGGCCCAGGUAAGUCCUCUUUUCCCAUUGAUUUAGAAAUCCCUUGUAAUAACCCUUAUGCCCCCAAAUUCUCUACUAAUGAUUCCAACACAAUUUCUUUAAAUGAUGAUCUUUCUAAAGUGGGGUCCACGGAGCUCAAUUCAUCUAUUUCAAAUCUGUCCCAUUUAAAGGAUUUAAAAAUGCAUGAAUCACCUCUUUUCUUAACUAAUACCAUGACCCCACUUAAUUCUCAACUGAAGGCUGAUAGGCCACAGAUGGACUUCAUGCAUGAGCACAAAAAUUCACUGCACGUAAACUCAGCGGUUAACAAUUUUGAUGUUCACCCUUAUAAUGAUUACACACCACAUGGUGAUAAUGAUCUGUUAAAUUCUCAAAACUCACCUUCUCUUGUUCACUUUGCCAAAAGCCAUAUUUUUGAACAUACUCCUUUCUCUGUUAUAAAUCAUGGAUCAUUCUCUAACUUGUCCAUUCAAGGGUCUACAUAUCCAUCACAGCCUACCAUACCCAGUUCAUCAACUACACCAGAAAUAUAUUCCGAUGGCACAAGAGAACAAUCAUUUUCCUUACCAAAUUUACACAUCAAUGAAUCCUAGUCAUGGCUGGAGUGGCACUCUCGGGAUAUGCACUCACCUUCACCAUGACAGUGAAUGGUCAAGAAUGUUUUAUACUGAUUCAAAACCCUCGGGACCUGGCGCAAAUCAUAAUGGAGGGGAUGAUGAGAGGAAUGGAGGUUUUCAAUAAUCCACUAGCGACAAGCCAAUCCCUCUCGACAAUUUCAUUUUACCCGCCACCACAAGAGGAGGAAUCAGCCCCGUGGAUUCAACCCCAUGUGAUGGUAGUAGCAAUGAAGUCUAAGUCAUAAGUUCAUCCUAUUCUACUGAGCUCUCUUCCACCUCCGACAACAUCAAAUACGAAAGAAGAGGUGGGGGAAACAUCUACCUUCUUGGGCCAGGUACAGGUAUUCCUCCUCACAGAACUAUUUGAAAAAGAAAUAAACGUAAACUUUCCUCAAAAUAUGUUCAAGUGUUCCAUUCAUGUGAGGCCAACCCUCAACCCCGGUGUGGGGAAGUAUGCCCUAAUUAUGAGUCCCUUUCUGAGGAACAAUGACUUUCUAGACUUCUUCCCCCGAAAGCCUCUAACUUUUAGUCGCCCCGAUGAAUUUUCUAAUUUGGAACUGUAGGGGAUCUUCUUCCCUAAACUUCACUUUAAGGAACUUCUUGACUUGCACAAGACUUUACUUGUAGUCCUCUUAGAAACCCAUAGGAUGAACCAUCAGUCUAUGCCCAAUGGGUUUUACUUCUCAAAUAUUGUUGAUACCAGACUUCAGGACAAGCAAGGGGAAUAGCUAUCCUUUGUCAAGAAGACCUUUUGAAUGUUACGAAUAUCGCUAUGAUUCAUCAAGAAAUUCACUAUAUCAUUCAGGUAUUCCCCCCCCAAAUAAAUGGUUUUUAUCUGCUAUUUAUGCUUAUAAUAAUUUGGAUGACAGAAUGAGUCUUUGGGAGAAUCUUAAGUGGGUUCCCGACUCCUUUAAGGGGCCUUGGCUAAUGGGUGGAGAUUUUAAUGAAAUAUGAAAUUCCAUCAAAAAAAAUUAGGGGAUUACCGAUAGAAAGUUCAAGAGCUGAAAAAUUUUCUCAGUACUUAGAUUACUGUCAUAUGGUUGACUUAGGAUUUUCUGGCAGUAAAUACACUUGGUCAAAUUUUCAUAAAAAUAAUACUCUUAUUUUGGAAUGCCUUGAUAGAUGUGUAGCCAAUACUGAUUGGCUCCAUCUAUUCCCUGAAUCACUUGUUAGGCACUUUCCUCGCACUCAUUCUGAUCACUGUCUCUUACUUCUACAACUAACUACUCCUGUUGUUCUAUCACAUAAGCCUUCAGAAUAGAAACCAUCUGGACAAACCAUCCUCAAUUUCCUUCAGUUAUUAAAAAUUCUUGGCUGAGAAUGAAUAAUGUUCUACUACCGUCCAUAGCCUAUUUUCAGAGUCAAGUAACCGUUUGGAACAAAGAGGCUUUUGGAAAUAUAUUUGGUAAAAAAGACGUAUGCUCACGUGAUUAGGCGGAAUCCAAAAAUACCCUCAUUACCCAACUAGUAGUUUCCUUCAAAAACUAGAAAUUUCUCUCAAUCAAAAUUGGGUUGCUUUAUGCAGAACAUGAAUUUUGGAAACUAAAAUCCCGCAUCCACUGGCUCAAUAAGGGUGACGCGAAUACUAAAUUCUAUCAUAUGUCCAUGGUUCAUAGAAGGCGCAAAAAUAAAAUCUUCACCCUUCGAGACAUAGUAGGAAAUUAGAUUAUGGAUAGGCAUGAUGUGGAGAAUCAUAUCACCUUUUUCUUCUCAAAUUUGUACUCAACAAACCUUAGUUGCUCUAAUAAGCACUUUUAUCAAGCUUCCAACCACUUUAUCUCUGUGGAGGAUGUGGAUCAUCAGGAAGGUCCUAUAUCCUAUAAGCAAAUUGUUGACUCGGUCUUCUCUUUUAAGCCCUACAAGUCCCUAGGUCCGUAUGGCUUCCAUCCUUUCUUUUUCCAAAAAUAUUAGGGGCUUGUGCAAGAUAUCCUGCACCAUCACUAGAAUACCAAAUAUAAGAAAGAAUACAUGUUGGCAAAAAUUAACCUCAAAAAAUCUUUUGACCAAUUAGAAUGGUCUUUUAUUCAUAACACCCUCCUUUACUUCAGAUUCUCUCAAAAGCUGGUAAAACUUAUCAUGUCCUGCAUUUCCACUACCUCUGUUUCACUCCUUAUCAAUGGCUCGGCAAUCCCUUAUUUCAUGACUACUAGAGGCAUCUACCAAGGGGAUCCUCUCUCCCUGUACUUAUUUAUUUUGUGUAUGGAGAGACUCUCUUGGAGAAUGAAAAUAUAUGGGUCUCUUUUAAUUUCCUCAAAAUGUGAAGAUUGUUAUGAAUAAUUGGGGAUUUUGUUGUCUUGAACUGUGUUUCUAUGUUUCCCGUCUUUCUUGAUUUUAUUUUAGAACUUUGCUUCAGAUAUAUGCUUUUUGAUUGAAUAGUUGAGGGUUUAUGCAAUUUCAACAACAACAACAAACCCAGUGUAUUUCUACAAAGAGAGGUUUGGGGAGGGUAGAAUGUACGCAGUCUAUACUGCACCUUCGAAGAAGUAGAGAGGCUGUUUCUGAUAGACCUCGGCUCAAAAUAAUAAAUAGUGAACAAUAUCAUAUCAAAGAUAAAUGAAUUUAAAUAAAAUUUUCAAAGAUAAAGUUCUGCUAAAGCUGAUAAACUACAUUUAGUUUAGUAUAAUAGGUUAAUAUUGUGAACGGAUAAUAGGCAAGGAACCUCGGUUGAGGACAUGUUUUAAAAUUCAGAAAACUAUGUAAUUUGGUUGCUAAAAUGAGGAUGCUUAGAUGGAUAUACGGGCAUACUAGGAGGGAUUGGAUAAAAAGCGAAGAUACAAGGCAAGGUGGGAGUGGCCUAGUGGUGGAUAAGAUAUGGGAAGUGAGACUAAGAUGGUUUGGGCAUAUAAAGAGGAGAAGGACACAUGCCCUAGUGAUGAAGUGUGAAAGGUUGGCAAUGAUUGGUCUUAUGUGAGGUAGAGGUAGACCGAGGAAGAAUUAGGGAGAGGUGAUUAGACAUGGCAUGACACAUCUUGAGCUCAUCAAUGACAUGACCUUAUUACUAUUGUUGUUUCGUAUACUUGGGAUAUCUUUACUAAUUUUGUUGUCAGUAUUCUUUAUGCAGUAUUUCUACCAUAGCUUUUACUCUUUUAUUUGUCAAAAACCUGCUUAUGAUAACAGUUUCUUGAACUGAAGAUCUAUUGAAGCCAUUCUCUCUACCUCACACAAGGUAGAGGUAUGGUCUGUGCAUACUCCAUGCUCCCCAGAACCCACUUAAGGGAUCUCACUGGCUAUGUUAUUGUAGUAGUAAUUUGGUUGUUGCAAUGUAAGUUGCUCGGACUCUUCAAAAUGUUGCAGCACCUGUGUUCGAGCCUAUAAAAUUGCACUACUUUUGAAGGAUCCGACGACAUUUUUGAAGAUUUCGUGCUUCCUAUUAUCAUCUCUUCCCUGCCUUUUCCUUUAUUAGUUUUAUUACUACUUGUGUAACUCCAUAAUUUUACUAGUACUAGUACUAGUACUAAAUUAGAUUUCCCUUAAUUCCCUUCAACUAUCUGUGCUGAUGAUAAUAAUGCUUGAAAUUCCUAUAGACAAGGAUAGCUUAUGACUAUGGAGAUAUCAUUACUUACUAUAUUUAAUUUCUUAUGUAUAGCUAGUAGGUAGGCUAUAUUUUUCCUUUAAUUUUUGGGGAAGAGCACACUAGUUUACAGUUUUGCUCUUUUCUUUUACUUUUUUGGAAGGUGGGAACUAGGGUUCUAUUGCUCUAUUUGAUUGUGCACAAAUUAAAGUGAGGUGUACAACUGAUUUCUAACUUCGUAACUACAAAUAGUUGGUGCUAAUAUACGAGUUUUGUAUACUAUAUACUACUAUAUGAUUUAUUUAUGUAUUGUCACUAUUGCCAUGCCCCUGACCCAUUACCUGCUUCUCCAAUUCCUCUCACAAACUUAAUUUCUCAGUAUUCCUCCUCCUCUUCCUCUUUCUCUUAAACAUACAUGUCAAAUGGGCCGGUCAACCUACUACAAAAGCCUAGUGGGUGAGCCUGGACCAGCCCAACCCCUAUAUAUGUAGGAGGGGGCGACAAAGUUCUGGCUUGUCCAUCCUUUAACAGGAAUAAAGGAAAGAGCAACGUAAAGCUUACCUUUUCUUCAUACUGCAUUUAUAAAUGCCAUUGUUGUGCUUUACUCGGUAACAACUAAUUACUGCUAUAAUGAUUUGAAUUUGAAGCAUGGAGAUACAACUCUCAGUGCUGCUUACUGAAUUAGAUAUCUGUAGGUUUUGUACAUUUUUUAUUUAACAUGUAAUGAAAGAAAAACUAUGAUUGGAGAUUUUGAGGGUUCAAUAUAUGGGCUGACCUUGGCUCACUGUGAUCCUUGCAACUUUGCCCCCUGUUCUAAAAUUAAACCUCCUAGAACUUCCUGCCCCCUGUCACCAGACAUAUCUCCCUACAGUACCAAAUUUUGUUUAGCUAUGAAAAUAUAAUAACUUUUUAAAGUUAGAAUUACGAUCGGAGAGUAAUUAAGUUGAAUUUGGUGUUAUGUUUGAUCGGAGAGUAAGUUGAAUUUGGUGUUAUGUUUGAUCAUAAAUAAGAGAAGUAGUUUUACUACUUUAUUCACUGUCUCAUUUUAAUAACUAUAUAUAGUUAUAUGUAUUAUGAUAUUAUCUAUCUAUAACAUUUAAUUGUGGUAUUUGUUUUUUGUGUUUAUUUAGUCGUGUUUUUUUUCCUUAUAAAUCAUACAUUGCAAAAUACAAUAAGUUUUUGCUUUUAAUGAUCUCGUUACAUUUACUUAUACAAAUUCUUGAUUUGUUAUAAAGUUUUCUUUCUUAAUUUAGAGUUUAACAAUUUUAAUUAUGUGAUUUUGUGUAGAUGGAUCGUAGUUGGAUGUAUAAUAUGACUAAUGUUGGUCGUAUGGGGUUGAUGCCUGAAUUUCUAGCCGGUGUCGGUGGUUUUGUGGAGCAUACAAUGACACUGGAACCUUUUCAACUCGAUGGCUUGGUUAAGUGUCCUUGUAGUAAAUGUAAAUGCAGGAAUUAUGAAAAACUUGAUAUUGUUAAGCUUCAUCUUUAUUGAAAUGGGUUUAAAGAAGAUUAUACAAUGUGGACUAGUCAUGGAGAAGUUGAUAAUAGUUUUGUCAGAUCUCAAAACUAUGUAGCUGGUGGAAGUUGUGGGGUAGUGGAACCUAAUGUCCAAAAUUAUAGAGUGCACUACAUGAUUCGAGAUGCGUAUGGGAUGCAUUCUAAUUUUGAAUCUGGUGAUCAUGUUGAAGAAGCUCCCAAUGAUAAAUCUAAACAUUUAUUUGAAUAGUUGGAAGCUUUUAGUCGGCCUCUGUACGAGGGGAGUCCACACUCUCAAUUGUCUAUUAUUGUUAGGCUAUUAAGUAUCAAAUCAGACUGGAAUAUUCCUCAGGGGGCAAUGGACACUGUGAUUGACCUUAUGCAUGAAUUAGUUGACCUGAAUCUAGAGAUACCUGAUAAUUUCUACAAGGCAAAGAGGUUGGUGUCAAAGUUAGGAUUGUCGUCGAUGAGAAUCAAUUGUUAUGAAAACGGCUGCAUGUACUACAAGGAUGAAAUUGAUCUAGAAUCUUGUAAGAUUUAUCAAAGGGCUCGUUUUAAAAAAGCUCCCAACAUGAAGAAAGUUGUUGUGAAGGCAAUGCAUUACUUACCUUUUAUACCAAGGCUAAAAAGGUUAUAUGCAUCAAAUAGGUCAGCUCCUCACAUGAGAUGACAUCAUAAAAAUAGAAGACCGCCUGGUGUUAUGUGUCAUCCAUCUGAUAGAGAGGCCUGGAAGCAUUUUGAUAGAAAAUAUCCAGAGUUUUCAGCUGAACCACAGAACAUUAGGUUGGGUUUAUGUUCAGAUGGAUUCACUCCAUACUCUAUUUCUGUUGCACCAUAUUCUUGUUAACCUGUAUAUUUGACACCAUAUAAUCUUCCACCUGAGGUGUGCAUGACCAGUCCUUAUAUAUUUCUCAAUUGUAUUAUUCCUGGCCCACGUAAUUCAAAAAUCAUGAUGGAUGUAUACUUGCAACCUUUGAUUGAUGAGUUGAAUCAAUUGUGGAUUCAAGGGGUUGAAAUAUUUGAUGUGUCGCUUAGGCAAAAUUUUAAUUUGUGGGCUAUCUUAAUGUGGACUAUUAGUGAUUUUCCUGCUUAUGGAAUGUUGUCCGGGUAGAUGACAGCUGGAAAGUUAGCCUGUCCUUACUGUAUAGAAAAUACUAAAUCAUUCACUUUUAAAUAUGGCCGAAAAAAUUGUUGGUUUGAUUGUCACCGUCGGUUUUUUUCCAUGGAUCAUGAGUUUAGGAAUAUGAAAAAUGUAUUUAGAAAGAAUACGGUUGAUCGAGACUGUCCACCUCCAAUCUAUACGGGAGAACAAGUUUGGAAGAGGGUUCAACACGAUCCAAAGGUUACAAAAGAACAACCGUUCAAAUUUGAUGGGUAUGGUGUUGUACAUAAUUAGACAAAACAGAGUAUAUUUUGGGAAUUAUCAUAUUGAAAGGAUCAUCUUCUUCGACAUAAUCUUGAUCCCAUGCAUACUAAAAAAAAUUAAAUUGAUAAUUUAUUUAAUACAGUAAUGGAUGUCAAUGGUAAGAAUAAAGACAAUGUUAAAGCUAGAAUGGACUUACCAGAAUAUUGUAGGCGAAAAGAGUUAUGGAUGCAGGAGAAAUCAAAUAAAAAGUUCUUCAACCUAAGGCUAGCUAUUAAUUUACAAUGGAGCAAAAACAUAAGAUAUGUGAAUGGGUUGAGCAGUUCAAAAUGUCUGCUGGUCAUGCUUCAAAUUUGGGGAAGUGUGUUGAUAUGGAGCACAGAAAGUUAUUUGGCAUGAAAAGUCAUGAUUGUCAUGUUUUCAUGGAAACAUUACUCCCCAUAGUAUUUAGUAGCUUGCCUGAAAUAAUCAGGAAACCUAUGACUAAAAUUAGUUUGUUUUUCAAAGACUUGUGUUCCAACACAUUGAUGGAAGAGAACUUAGUUCGGAUGAAACGAAAUAUUCUUGGAAUUAUGAAUAAGCUAGAGAAGAUUCUUCCACCUGGAUUUUGGGAUGUGAUGGAACAUCUUCCUAUGCAUCUUGUGCAUGAAGCUCGUCUUGGAGGUCCGGUUAAUAUCGAUGGAUGUAUCCAUUUGAGAGGUAACUAUUGUAAAUCUUAUUAUAUUCCUCUCCAUUGAUGUUUUUUUUUUAAAAAUUCAUAAUAUAAUAUUAUAUAGGACUAUUGGCAAGAAUAAAUGGAGUAUCAAGAAACAACAUAGAAUUGAAGGCUCAAUGUGUAAAGCCUAUCUUGCUAAGGAAACGACCGAUUUCUGUUCGUAUUACUUUGGAAGUGAUGUUCCAUGUUCACGAAAUAGGCCUAAUCAUCACGACGAUAGUGGUGAGGUUGCUAGAGAGUCGUUAUCAAUUCAAUCAACCUGGCGGAGGUUCAAAAAAGCAUACAAAGAGGCAUCUUAGUUCAUUGGAGUCUAAAUCUGCAUCAAUACAUGUCUUGUUGAACUGCCCUCAAGUUAAACCAUUUCUUGAGUAAGUUGUUAUUAUUUUGCAUUACAUAUGCAAUUACAAGACAAAGUGACGGACUUAAUUUUCAUCCUCUUUGACAGCUACUUUGUGCAGUUGUAUGGCAAUGAUAAAGUGUUUGACUAUUUUUCAACACGGUUUAAAGAUUAUGUGAGUGUUGCAAUAUUUUCAUAAUGAUAUAAUUAUUAGAAAGUCUACAUUUGAUUAAUGCUAAUUUUCUACUCUCAACUAUCUUUAGGUUUAUGAUACAAGAAAUGGUCAAUUUGACCAAUUUUUGAAGGAUUUAUCUUGGGGACCUAUUAAGGCCUAUUCUAUGGAAAAGUAUACAGUGAAUGAUUUUAAAUUCAACACCGAAGAAUGCUCCAAAUAUAAAAAAAAACUAAUAAUAGUAGAGUUUGGGUAAAAGGUGAUGAUGGAGAUCAAAAUGGUGUUGAUUAUUAUGGGGUACUUGAGGAGAUUUUAGAAAUGGAGUAUUCUGGUUGUCCAGAAAAAAGAAUUGUAUUGUUCAGAUGAAAAUGGCUCAACCCACGAGGGAAAUCAAAUAAUAUAAUAUCAUAGGCACGCAAGAGAGUAUAGGGCAUACGAUCCUUUCAUCAUUGCAUAUAAUGCUAAGCAAGUGUAUUAUACUCCUUAUCCCUUGUGUCCAGAUAAAUUGAAUUGGUGGGCGGUAAUCAAAAUCAAGCCUGUGGGUCGAGUGAAAGUUGAAAAUGUAUUAGAUAUUUCAUACCAGGCUGAUGACAUAUCAUGUGUUCACCAACCAGUUGAUGUUGACUUAGAAGAUAAUUUAGAGCAUCCUGAACACAUAGUGGAAAAGGUUGAUAUAAUGAAGUAGAAUUGGCAGCAAAUAAAGAGGUGGAUGAAUCAAAUGAUGAAAAUGUAAUAGUAGAUGAGGAAAAUUGGUUAGAAGAGGAAAGAGGGCCAGAAGAGGAAGAAUAGUCACAAGAGAAAGAAUGGUCAGAAGAAGAAGGAGGGUCAGAAGAGGAGGAUGACGACGAGGAGGAAUGAUAAUUUGAAAUAACACAUCUGCAUUUUUUUGUUUCUUUGUUUGGUUUAGUUUAUUCUUUUUUCCCUAAUUUGAUCAAUGUAGUUUUUGUUAACUUUAUUUCUAUUUUUAACUAAGAAUUGUUGGUUUGAUUUAAUGUUAUUCUUAUUUAAAAGUUUUGUUUGGUGUCUUGAAGUGCUUGCUGCUUUAAUCUCUGAUUGGUAUGUUUCUCAAAAUAUAUUAGUGUCUCUAUGUCUAACUGCGCAUUGGUAGUUGUUCAGGUUUGUUAAUUUCUUUCAUUGAUGUUACAUGUGUUUAACCAUACGUAUGUCAUAGGUUUUGUUUUCCUCACAUACAGUUAUAUGAUCAAAAUAUGUACAUUUAUGGUGUCUCUAAACUAUAAUUUAAGAUAUUAUAUGAAAAUUUGUGUAGAUGGCAGGCGGAAAUAAGGAUAAGGGUACUGCUAAUGCUCUCAAAAAGAAAUUAAAGAAGGCUAGUAUGAUUAACAGGCGAUCGACAAGUAUACAUAUAAGAUUAGACACCACACCAUCUCAUCCAUCACGAGGUGCACCACUAGCAUAUACUCAACAACCCCCAUAUAUGCAUACGAUGAGGCCCACUUUAGGUCAUGCUACGUCACAUGCAUACAGUCAAUUUCCUCGCAUGAUGCAUCAACAAAUAUCUAGUUCCUCUCAUACAGUUACUCUUAACCCCGGUAACUUACAACCUUCAUCAGUAUCUACUCCACAGAUUGGGAUAUCAAGUCUUCCACUUUGAGGCAAUAUCUCUGAACCUGAAAAUCCUACCAUAAACCAGUCUAUUACGCAUGCCAGGUUCAUCCACAAGAUGGCAUGAGGGACAUGCGUAAUAGACUUAUCAUAGGCCUGAUGGCUAUGGGUAUGGUUUUUACAAAAUGUAUUUAGUUUAUGAAUAUCUCAUAAUUGUUUUAGCUUUAACCUAUAAAUAUUUAAAUUUUGAAAUACAGUUUUAAUCCAGAUUCAGCUGUAAGGAUCCUUUCUCAAAUCAUUCAAUAUCUUUAUAGAGGUGCUGUCACGAGUUGGGGAAAGAUGCCAGACAAUCUCAGGAACCAGAUUCUUUUGGAAUUUAGGCUUCUUCUCGUGAGAAUGGGACUUAGACCGGUGACGUCUGAAGAGGAGGAGGAGUACUGGAAUAUUUGCUGGAAGCAUUGAAUUUGAAGGACUGAGCUGACCGUAGGCAGUGAUAGGUUACAGUACAGAAAAACACAGCAGUAGGCCUUGCAAUGAAAAGGAAUUUGGGAGGCCAAUAACUCAAGCUGAGGCAUUCAAGGCUACACACACAAAGAAGAAGAAAACUCCUGAAGAUCCUGAUGUAUGGGUUGAGCCACGAGCUCAGCUGACCUAUAAUCGAUAUCUACAAUACAUAGAGGAUUUUCGCCAAACUCUACCAGAAGAUAAGUGAGACCUACCACUUAGCCAAGAGCAGAAUGAGAGAAUAUGGUUAGAUGCAGUUAGUGGCCCGAGUAGAUAUGGAUAUGCUUAUGGAUUGCCCCAACGAACAUUCUGUGAAUUUCAUUCGGAACUAGAAGGCCUUGGUAGUUUCCAGGAUGAUGAGUCAAGGGAGACGAUUUUAGAUUUGAAGAGCAAAUAACUAAGCUAUCUAGCGAAGCUAAGGCCUCGCAGGCUAGGGAAAGACAAAAGGAUAUACAGUAUGCAGGAAUGAAGGCCCAAUUUUAUGCAUUACUUGCUUCGGGCGGGAUUCCCCCUUGUCCCGGUGAUGUAGUGUGCCCUCCUCGACCCCCAUAGUCUCUACCUAUUUCACAUGGAGUAUAUGGUCAAUACAGAGAUGUGACUGAGGAGCCCAGUAGUGAUGAAGAUGAUUACUAUGUGGACUAUGCACCGCCGCGUUGUUAAAGUUGAAUGUUGUCUAGAUAAUCUAAACUAUAUAUUUUAUGGUGGUUUAUUUGAAUUCUUAGGUGAUUUUGAAUGCAUUAAAACUUUAAAGUAGA
Molecule: long non-coding RNA, 12334 nt
Organism: Capsicum annuum
Lineage: Eukaryota; Viridiplantae; Streptophyta; Magnoliopsida; Solanales; Solanaceae
Exons: 4
Source: RefSeq, a predicted model, not a curated record